AACGAACGCUGGCGGCAGGCUUAACACAUGCAAGUCGAACGCCCCGCAAGGGGAGUGGCAGACGGGUGAGUAACGCGUGGGAAUCUACCUAGUUCUACGGAACAACUGAGGGAAACUUCAGCUAAUACCGUAUACGCCCUACGGGGGAAAGAUUUAUCGGAAUUAGGAUGAGCCCGCGUAAGAUUAGCUAGUUGGUGGGG
This 200-nucleotide ribosomal RNA is filed under the name uncultured bacterium. RNAcentral's name for it is "partial 16S ribosomal RNA". It matches the Rfam family "Bacterial small subunit ribosomal RNA", at positions 29 to 257 of the family's 1533-position model. The record is from RNAcentral.